CCAGACCAAAAAUUUAGAAAAAAACCUAAAACCCUAAUUUUCAUUUCUCUAUCUUACUCAAAUUCUCACUUCAUUUCUUCUCAAUUUUCAAAUCUCAAUCCCUCGAUUCAUUCCUCACAAUAAUGAGACAUCAAUGCCGCAUUCUCCAUCUUCUCCUCCGCACUCACCGCAAAAUCCCCAAUCAAUCUCAGGUACUCCGCUCUUUCUCUCACACUCCUCUCCGUUUCAAUCCCACUCAUUCCAAAUUCCCCAUAAACCCUAGCUUCCGUCAUUUCUCUUCCGAACCCGUUCUCACUGAAGUCGAUCCUGAUCACACCGUCAUCGUCGAGAUAUUCUCGAAACCUCGAGAUCUCGAUGAUGUUAAGAAACAGCUCGAUUCAAGUAACGUUUCGAUUAGCCACGACGCGGUGAAUGCUGUUUUGAGGAAGCUGCAGUCUGAUCCUGAUUCGGCGAAGAGGUUUUUCGGAUGGGUAUCGGAGAAUCAUCCCGAGAAAUUAAGCUCCAGAUCGUAUAAUGCGAUGCUGGGCGUUUUGGGGUUAAAUGUGGCUGUUGAGGAGUUUUGGGAUUUGGUUGGGGUUAUGAAGAAAAAGGGUUAUGGGGUUUCGAAAUGGGUGAAUGAUAGGGUUUUGGAGAGUUUUGAGAAGGGGGGAUUGGAUGGUGAGGUUGUGAAGUUGAAGGGGUUGUUUGAUAAGGAAACUGAUGAGAGGAAGUUUCAUAAUUUGUGUAGGAUUGUGAGGAGAAAUGUAUGGAGUGAUGAGGUUGAGAAGGAGAUUAGGGAUUUGAAUGUUGUGUUUUCGAGUGAGGUGGUUAAGUUGGUUUUGGAGAGUUUAGGUUCGGAGCCGAAUAAGGGGUUGAUAUUUUUCAGGUGGGUGGAAGAGAGUGGCUUGUUUAAGCAUGAUGAGGGUACGUAUAAUGCGAUGGCGAGGGUUGUUGGAAGGGAGGAUACGAUUGAUCGGUUUUGGAAGGUUGUUACUGAUAUGAGGAGUGCUGGAUUUGAGAUGGAAGUGGAGACGUUUGUUAAGGUUUUGGGUCGGUUUUGUAAGAGGAGAAUGAUUAAGGAGGCUGUUGAGCUUUACGAGUUUGCUUUAGCUGGUGCAAACAAGCCUACGUCGACGAGUUUUACCUUUCUGUUGAAAAAAGUUGUUUCUUCUAAGGAGUUGGAUAUGGAUUUGUUUUCUAGGGUUUUGAAGGUUUUUACCGGAAAUGGAGGUACUUUGACUGAUUCCAUUGCUGAUGCUGUAUUGAAAUCUUUAACAAGUGUUGGUAGGAUUGGAGAGUGGAAUAAGGUUUUGAAAGAAAUGGAAGAUUGCGGGUUUGUUGCUAGUGGUAGUUUGCGGAGUAAAAUUGCAUUUCGACUUGGGGCUACCGGUAAAAAGGAACAAGCUAAUGAGUUUGUGGAUAGAGUUGAAGCGUAUGGGUCUAGUCCAGAUCACAAGAUGCGUAAAUCGUUAGUCGAGGGGCAUUGUGUAGGUGGGAACCUUGAUAAGGCAUUUGAAUCUUUCAAAGAGAUGGUUGAGAAAGAGGGAGUUGCAUCUGCUGGAUAUACUUUUGAUUCGUUGAUGAAUUCAUAUUGCCAAAUGAAUAGAGCAAAAGAUGCGUACAAGAUUCUAUGUCAAUGGGUGAACGAAAAAGAGUUAAAGCCUCGGCAUUCAACUUACAAGCUUCUGAUAACCAAGUUAAUGGCUCAAGGAGGAUUCAAAGAUGCCUUAAAUCUUUUGGCUGUAAUGAGAUCCACUGGAUUCCCUCCUUUUACCGAACCCUUUAUCGAACACGUAUCAAAGCGCGGAAGUGGUGAUGAUGCUGUUCUGUUACUCAAGGCAAUGACCUCAAAGAAGUUUCCGUCUACGUCUGUUUACCAUGUAAUGUUUAACGCCUUCUUCAAGCAAGGAAGGCAUGGAGAAGCACAAAAUUUCCUUUCCAAAUGUCCAAGCUACAUUCGUGACGAUGCCGAUGUUUUGGAUCUCUUUUAUUCAAAGAACUCCAAAGAAUCUAAAGAAGCUGCUGCUUCUUCUGAAGUGUUGGCUGCUUAAGUUUACAAAAUGUAUCUCAUAUUGUACUCUCGAGAAGAUUGUGCUAUGGCAUUUGUUCAGGAAUUUUGCAUCAUUAUAAUGUCGAUUUAAAGACAACAAACAUAUACUUUGCUUGGUGCCUCAUAUCGACGACGGACUUUGUAGUUUUCUCAACAUUCUGGUUUUGAUUGACUUAAUAUAGAUUGUAGAUCAAGAUGAUAUAUUCUGGUUCAUGCGUUGUUUUGAACAGCAUUAUCAGAGAUUGAUGUCUUUAAUUUACCCUGUAACUUGUUUUGCCUUGGACUGAACAAUUUUCAAAAGAGACAGUGUUUUGCCUUGGUAUUCUACACUGACCUAUAUCAACUUUAGUAAUUGGAUUUGGGCAUUAGACAUGAUAGCAGUUUUAACUAUGUAACAGAAAAUUGCCAGAAAAUCCCACAUAUCUGUUGGUCAUGUUUUGAUUAGUAUAUUUUGUGAUAUGAUAUAAGGCAUUGUUACGUUUUACUGUGUAUUGUAGGUAAUUUUCUCUUAAUGUCAGUCCCAUGAAACUACAUACAUUGAUGAUUGGUAUUUUAUGUUAUGUAUGGAUUGAUGGAAUACGUAGGAAUGGACGGAAUGAAAUGGAAUAUGUAGGAUGAGUGUACCGCCAUUUUCUUACUCUCCUAUCUGCACCUAAUGAGAACAUGGUUUUGUUAUUUAUGUGUUAAAAUAUUCAUUGAAAUGCAAUCCACUUGGUUCCAUUCCAUUAUGCUUCUUUCCAUUCCACUCUUUUUGUUUUGAAAUUUUUAGAGCUCUUAAUAUUCUUAAUAAAGAGGGAACUAUGUAUGCUUCUUGUAUCAU
RNA transcript from Vicia villosa (hairy vetch), 2849 nucleotides. It is a transcript of the gene named small ribosomal subunit protein mS81 (rPPR8)-like, with no coding region annotated. The record is from RefSeq and is a predicted model, not a curated record. NCBI's taxonomy places the organism in Eukaryota, Viridiplantae, Streptophyta, Magnoliopsida, Fabales, Fabaceae. The transcript is spliced from 2 exons.